UUCGGUGGUCAUAGCAUGAGGGAAACGCCCGGUUACAUUCCGAACCCGGAAGCUAAGCCUCA
This 62-nucleotide ribosomal RNA is filed under the name Streptomyces alfalfae. The record is from RNAcentral. Lineage: Bacteria; Bacillati; Actinomycetota; Actinomycetes; Kitasatosporales; Streptomycetaceae.